GGACUACAGGGGUAUCUAAUCCUGUUUGCUCCCCACGCUGUCGCGCCUGAGCGUCAGUAACGGGCCAGUGAGCCGCCUUCGCCACCGGUGUUCUUCCGAAUAUCUACGAAUUUCACCUCUACACUCGGAAUUCCACUCACCUCUCCCGUACUCAAGCUUCACAGUCUCAAAGGCAGUUCCAGAGUUGAGCUCUGGGCUUUCACCCCUGACUUGAAAAGCCGCCUGCGCGCGCUUUACGCCCAGUAAUUCCGAACAACGCUAGCCCCCUUCGUAUUACCGCGGCUGCUGGCAC
This 292-nucleotide ribosomal RNA is filed under the name uncultured bacterium. Its description in RNAcentral is "partial 16S ribosomal RNA". The record is from RNAcentral.